CUCUUCUCGCGUUCUGUCUUCUCCUCAUUUCACUCUCGUGAAAACAAAGUUUUUUUUCCUUUUGGCGAUGAAGAUGGCGAUUCGGCUCAUCUCCGAUCUUCCGCCGUAGAUGUCGUCCGGCCGACCAAUCUGAGAGAUAUCACGACCUCCAGCGUUGCGGGAGUUCCACGGGAGGAGGAGAUGCUGAAAUCAACAAGUGGUGUGAGAAAAAGACGGCGAGGAGUACCGGAAAUUGUUGGCUCCGAUUUGUUCCAAUCCUUCUCAAAUCGGUUAAUAUGGAGAUACAAACACAUUGUACAAAGAAGAGCGACAAUAAAACACAUAAUACAAUCCUAUGGGUGUGAUAUCUCGUGAAAAUAGUCAUAAUGUGAGAGGCUUGAGUUCCAAGUCUUUACUAUGAGCGAGAGAAA
Capsella rubella is the source of this 410-nucleotide long non-coding RNA. RefSeq lists it as uncharacterized. The record is from RefSeq and is a predicted model, not a curated record. The transcript has 2 exons. NCBI's taxonomy places the organism in Eukaryota, Viridiplantae, Streptophyta, Magnoliopsida, Brassicales, Brassicaceae.